This 546-nucleotide ribosomal RNA is filed under the name uncultured bacterium. RNAcentral describes it as "bacterial SSU rRNA". It matches the Rfam family "Bacterial small subunit ribosomal RNA", at positions 356 to 896 of the family's 1533-position model. The record is from RNAcentral.
GGGGAAUAUUGCGCAAUGGGGGGAACCCUGACGCAGCCAUGCCGCGUGAAUGAAGAAGGCCUUCGGGUUGUAAAGUUCUUUCGGUAUUGAGGAAGGAGUGUAUGUUAAUAGCAUACAUUAUUGACGUUAAAUACAGAAGAAGCACCGGCUAACUCCGUGCCAGCAGCCGCGGUAAUACGGAGGGUGCGAGCGUUAAUCGGAAUAACUGGGCGUAAAGGGCACGCAGGCGGUUAUUUAAGUGAGGUGUGAAAGCCCCGGGCUUAACCUGGGAAUUGCAUUUCAGACUGGGUAACUAGAGUACUUUAGGGAGGGGUAGAAUUCCACGUGUAGCGGUGAAAUGCGUAGAGAUGUGGAGGAAUACCGAAGGCGAAGGCAGCCCCUUGGGAAUGUACUGACGCUCAUGUGCGAAAGCGUGGGGAGCAAACAGGAUUAGAUACCCUGGUAGUCCACGCUGUAAACGCUGUCGAUUUGGGGAUUGGGCUUAAAGCUUGGUGCCCGUAGCUAACGUGAUAAAUCGACCGCCUGGGGAGUACGGCCGCAAGGUUA